This 279-nucleotide long non-coding RNA is filed under the name Physcomitrium patens. RNAcentral's name for it is "long non-coding RNA (PPAT_LNC009500)". Lineage: Eukaryota; Viridiplantae; Streptophyta; Bryopsida; Funariales; Funariaceae. The record is from RNAcentral.
AUACACCAUAAAUCUAUAUGGAUGCCCUUUGACUGCUUGUCGAAGUCCUUUUUGCCCCAGCCGGUAGGUCUCUAGACAUUACAGAGAACCCCGAACAACCCAAUCUGCUAAUCUCCGAUACCGCUUUGUACUUAGGAUCUUGUAUCCAUAGACUGUCUUGUUAGAUUAAUCCAAUAAAUUUCAUGUACUCCGCAUACUCAAUCCUAUAGACAUCCUUUUAAUUCUUCAAUCACAGACGUAACUCGAUUUCACAAAACAGUCAAGAGUAAUCAAACCCAC